Molecule: ribosomal RNA, 774 nt
Filed under: uncultured Neocallimastigales
Lineage: Eukaryota; Fungi; Neocallimastigomycota; Neocallimastigomycetes; Neocallimastigales
Description: partial large subunit ribosomal RNA
Rfam family: Eukaryotic large subunit ribosomal RNA
Source: RNAcentral
UGUACACGCUGUGACUAGCAUAUCAAUAAGCGGAGGAAAAGAAACUAACAAGGAUUCCCUCAGUAACGGCGAGUGAAGCAGGAAGAGCUCAAAUUUGAAAUCUUGAAAGGUCACCUUUCACGAAUUGUAGUUUAGAGAAGUGUUUUCUGUUACGAUCGUAAUAUAAGUUCUUUGGAAUAGGACAUCACAGAGGGUGAGAAUCCCGUCUACGAUUGCGAUUUGUAGCUUUGUGAUACACUUUCAAAGAGUCGGGUUGUUUGGGAAUGCAGCCCAAAACGGGAGGUAAAUUUCUUCUAAGGCUAAAUAUUGGCGAGAGACCGACUAGCGAACAAGUACCGUGAGGGAAAGAUGAAAAGAACUUUGAAAAGAGAGUUAAAUAGUACGUGAAAUUGUCAAGAGGGAAGCGUUUAACACCAGUGUUGUUUUCUGAAAGUCAACCUCUGUUAGCUUUAUGCAUGUUUGUUUAGACCUAAUCAGCUAUCUUGCAUGUUCUAUUGUUUGCAGUGGUGCACUUUUCAGUUUACAGGUCAACAUCAGUUUUUUUUACCGUAAAAAAGUUAAAGAAAGGUAGCUCAUGGCUCCAGGUCGUGAGUGUUAUAGUCUUUUUCCUAUGCGGUAGGAGAGACUGAGGUCUGCAGUGUAGGCUAUUUGGCUAGAUACUCAGGUGCUAUGUGAUACCAUUUCAUAAACAACUUGUUGAUUAUGUUUUGUCUAUUGCAUACUCGCUUGUACUAUCAUACCUACGCUUAGGAUGUUGAGUAGCGACAUACGCAC